This 198-nucleotide ribosomal RNA is filed under the name uncultured bacterium. RNAcentral describes it as "partial 16S ribosomal RNA". It matches the Rfam family "Bacterial small subunit ribosomal RNA", at positions 328 to 539 of the family's 1533-position model. The record is from RNAcentral.
ACGCUCGACACCUACGGGAGGUAGCAGUGGGGAAUAUUGCACAAUGGGGGAAACCCUGAUGCAGCGACGCCGCGUGGAGGAAGAAGGUCUUCGGAUUGUAAACUCCUGUUGUUGGGGAAAAAGAGGAUGGUACCCAACAAGGAAGUGACGGCUAACUACGUGUCAGCAGCCGCGGUAAUCUGAGCGGGCUGGCAAGGC